This 23-nucleotide non-coding RNA is filed under the name Cricetulus griseus (Chinese hamster). Lineage: Eukaryota; Metazoa; Chordata; Mammalia; Rodentia; Cricetidae. The record is from RNAcentral.
AACGGUCACUUAGAAAAGAGGGU